Molecule: ribosomal RNA, 1740 nt
Filed under: marine metagenome
Description: bacterial LSU rRNA
Rfam family: Bacterial large subunit ribosomal RNA
Source: RNAcentral
AACAGCCCUUAAGCUGAAUUGAUGUUAGUGGAACAAGCUGGGAAGCUUGGCCGUAGUGGGUGAUAGCCCCGUACACGAAAACAUCUUUACAGUGAAAUCGAGUAGGACGGGACACGUGAUAUCCUGUCUGAAUAUGGGGGGACCAUCCUCCAAGGCUAAAUACUCCUGACUGACCGAUAGUGAACCAGUACCGUGAGGGAAAGGCGAAAAGAACCCCUGUGAGGGGAGUGAAAUAGAUCCUGAAACCGUGUACGUACAAGCAGUGGGAGCGGUCCUUGAGACCGUGACUGCGUACCUUUUGUAUAAUGGGUCAACGACUUAAUUUCAGUAGCAAGCUUAACCAUUUAGGGGAGGCGUAGGGAAACCGAGUCUUAAUAGGGCGUCAUAGUUGCUGGGAUUAGACCCGAAACCGAGCGAUCUAUCCAUGGGCAGGUUGAAGGUUGAGUAACAUCAACUGGAGGACCGAACCGACUACCGUUGAAAAGUUAGCGGAUGACCUGUGGAUCGGAGUGAAAGGCUAAUCAAGCUCGGAGAUAGCUGGUUCUCCUCGAAAGCUAUUUAGGUAGCGCCUCGUGUCUCACCAUUGGGGGUAGAGCACUGUUUCGGCUAGGGGGUCAUCCCGACUUACCAACCCGAUGCAAACUCCGAAUACCAAUGAGUGCAAUCACGGGAGACAGACAGCGGGUGCUAACGUCCGUUGUCGAAAGGGAAACAACCCAGACCGUCAGCUAAGGUCCCAAAGUUACAGUUAAGUGGGAAACGAUGUGGGAAGGCUUAGACAGCUAGGAAGUUGGCUUAGAAGCAGCCAUCUUUUAAAGAAAGCGUAAUAGCUCACUAGUCGAGUCGGCCUGCGCGGAAGAUAUAACGGGGCUAAAACUGUACACCGAAGCUACGGACGCAUGCUUGCAUGCGUGGUAGAGGAGCGUUCUGUAAGCGGAUGAAGCGUAAGCCGGGAGGCAGCGUGGACGUAUCAGAAGUGCGAAUGUUGACAUGAGUAACGAUAAGGGGGGUGAAAAACCUCCCCGCCGGAAGACCAAGGGUUCCUGUCCAACGCUAUUCGAGGCAGGGUGAGUCGGCCCCUAAGGCGAGGCAGAGAUGCGUAGUCGAUGGGAAGCGGGUUAAUAUUCCCGCACAUUUUAUAACUGCGAUGGAGAGACGGAGCAGGCUAGGCGAGCGCGGCGAUGGUUGUCCGUGUUUAAGCCCUUAGGCAAAGAUCUUAGGUAAAUCCGGGAUCUUCACUUUAAUGUGGAUGCUGAGAGGUGAUGACGAGGCUCUACGGAGUUGAAGUCGUUGAUGCCAUACUUCCAGGAAAAUCUUCUAAGCUUCAGGUUAUAAGGUACCGUACCCCAAACCGACACAGGUGGUCAGGUAGAGAAUACUAAGGCGUAUGAGAGAACUCGGGUGAAGGAACUAGGCAAAAUGGUGCCGUAACUUCGGGAGAAGGCACGCCACUAAUGGUGAUGGGAUUUACUUCCUAAGCUGUUGGUGGUCGAAGAUACCAGGUGGCUGCGACUGUUUAUUAAAAACACAGCACUCUGCAAACACGAAAGUGGACGUAUAGGGUGUGACGCCUGCCCGGUGCCGGAAGGUUAAUUGAUGGGGUUAGCUUCGGCGAAGCUCUUGAUCGAAGCCCCGGUAAACGGCGGCCGUAACUAUAACGGUCCUAAGGUAGCGAAAUUCCUUGUCGGGUAAGUUCCGACCUGCACGAAUGGCGUAACGAUGGCCACACUGUCUCCACCC